GGUCCCAAGGGUAUGGCUGUUCGCCAUUUAAAGAGGUACGCGAGCUGGGUUUAGAACGUCGUGAGACAGUUUGGUCCCUAUCUGCUGUGGGCGCUGGAGACUUGAGAGGAGCUGCUCCUAGUACGAAAGGACCGGAGUGGACAUACCUCUGGUGUUCCAGUUGUCACGCCAGUGGCAUUGCUGGGUAGCUAUGUAUGGACGGGAUAACCGCUGAAAGCAUCUAAGCGGGAAGCCUCCCUCAAGAUUAGGUCUCCCUGGAUCCUAGAGAUCCCUGAAGGGCCGUUGAAGACUACAACGUUGAUAGGCGGGAUGUGUAAGUGCAGUAAUGUAUUGAGCUAACCCGUACUAAUUGCCCGUGAGGCUUGACCAU
This 370-nucleotide ribosomal RNA is filed under the name Acidiferrobacterales bacterium. Its description in RNAcentral is "partial 23S ribosomal RNA". It matches the Rfam family "Bacterial large subunit ribosomal RNA", at positions 2561 to 2925 of the family's 2925-position model. The record is from RNAcentral. Lineage: Bacteria; Pseudomonadati; Pseudomonadota; Gammaproteobacteria; Acidiferrobacterales.